CGACGCUAGCUACUUGGUCAUUUAGAGGAAGUAAAAGUCGUAACAAGGUUUCCGUAGGUGAACCUGCGGAAGGAUCAUUAUCGGGAGUGCCCUCGUGGCUUAACCUGCAACCCAAUGUUUUAAAAACCCUUGUUUCUUUGGCGGGUUCGCCCGUCAGAAGAACUCUCAAACUCAUUAUAAAUGUGUCUUCUGAAUAACCAUUUAAUAAAAUUAAAACUUUCAACAACGGAUCUCUUGGUUCUGGCAUCGAUGAAGAACGCAGCGAAAUGCGAUAAGUAAUGUGAAUUGCAGAAUUCAGUGAAUCAUCGAAUCUUUGAACGCAUAUUGCGCCCUUUGGUAUUCCGAAGGGCAUGCCUGUUCGAGCGUCAUUACACCCCUCAAACUUCACUGUUUGAUGUUGGGUACUGCCUAGGGGCAUACCUAAAAGUCAGCGACGGUUCAAGCCAACCUCAGACGUACAAGUAUCGUUAUAGGGGACGGUUGGGGCCUGUCUUUAACUAAACUAUCUAAAUGUUGACCUCGGAUCAGGUAGGAAUACCCGCUGAACUUAAGCAUAU
Molecule: ribosomal RNA, 557 nt
Filed under: uncultured fungus
Lineage: Eukaryota; Fungi
Description: eukaryotic LSU rRNA
Rfam family: 5.8S ribosomal RNA (bases 215-368)
Source: RNAcentral